GGUUUGAUUCUGGCUCAGAUUGAACGCUGGCGGGAUGCUUACACAUGCAAGUCGAACGGCAGCACGGACUUCGGUCUGGUGGCGAGUGGCGAACGGGUGAGUAAUGUAUCGGAACGUGCCUAGUAGCGGGGGAUAACUACGCGAAAGGUAGCUAAUACCGCAUACGCCUCGGGAAAGCGGGGGACUCGGGCCUCGCACUAUUAGGAGCGGCUGAUAUCGGAUUAGCUAGUUGGUGGGGUAACGGCUCACCAAGGCGACGAUCCGUAGCUGGUUUGAGAGGACGACCAGCCACACUGGGACUGAGAUAUCGGCUCCAGACUCCUACGUGGAGGCAGCAGUGGGGAAUUUGGGAUUGUAACGGGGAAACCCUGAUCCAGCCAUCCUGGCGUGCGAUGAAGGCCUUCGGGUUGUAAAGCACUUUUGGCAGGAAAGAAACGGCACGGGAUAAUACCCUGUGCAACUGACGGUACCUGCAGAAUAAGCACCGGCCAACUACGCCAGCAGCCGCAAUACGUAGGUGCAAGCGUUAAUCGGAAUUACUGGGGCGUAGCGCAAGUGCAGGCGGUUCGGAAAAGAAAGAGAUGUGAAAUCCCAGAGCUUAACUUUGGAACCGCAUUUUUAACCACCGAGCCGAGUGUCAGAGGGAGGUGGAAUUCCGCGUAGCAGUGAAAUGCGUAGAUAUGCGGAGGAACACCGAUGGCGAAGGCAGCCUCCGGAUAACACUGACGCUCAUGCACGAAAGCGUGGGGAGCAAACAGGAUUAGAUACCCUGGUAGUCCACGCCCUAAACGAUGUCAACUAGCUGCUGGGGCCUUCGGCCUGGUAGCGCAGCUACGCGUGAAGUUGACCGCCUGGGGAGUACGGUCGCAAAAGAUUAAAACUCAAAGGAAUUGACGGGGACCUGCACAAGCGGUGAUGAUGUGGAUUAAUUCGAUGCAACGCGAAAACCUUACCUACCCUUGACAUGUUGGAAUCCCGAAGAUCGGGGAGGUUUCGCAAGAGAACCGGAACACAGGUGUUGCAUGGCUGUCGCCGCCUGUGUCAGGAGAUGCUGGGGUUAAGUCCCGCAACGAGCGGCAACCUCUGUCAUUAGUUGCUGUCGGUGCCGGCACUGACGAGACCGCUGCGACAAACCGGAGGGAAGGUGGGGAUGACGUCAAGUCCUCAUGGGCCCUAUGGGUAGGGCUUCACACGUCAUACAAUGGUCGGGACAGAGGGUCGCCAACCUGCGAGGUGAGCCAAUCCCGUAAACCCGAUCGUAGUCCGGAUCGCAGUCUGCAACUCGACUCCAUUGCGUGAAGUCGGAAUCGCCGGGGCACUCGCGGAUCAGCAUGUCGCGGUGAAUACGUUCCCGGGUCUUGUACACACCGCCCGUCACACCAUGGGAGUGGUUCUACCAGAAGUGGUUAGCCUAACCGUGGCGAGAGUGGGCGAUUACCACGGUAGGAUUCAUGACCGGGGGUGAAGUCGUAACAAGGC
Molecule: ribosomal RNA, 1479 nt
Filed under: uncultured Bordetella sp.
Lineage: Bacteria; Pseudomonadati; Pseudomonadota; Betaproteobacteria; Burkholderiales; Alcaligenaceae
Description: partial 16S-23S ribosomal RNA intergenic spacer
Rfam family: Bacterial small subunit ribosomal RNA
Source: RNAcentral